GCUCACUUCAGCAGCACAUUCUAAACUUGCAAGGAUACAGAGAAGAUUAGCGUGGAGGAUGACAUGCAUGUUCAUGAAGUUUUCCAUGUUAAA
Small nuclear RNA from Delphinapterus leucas (beluga whale), 93 nucleotides. The record is from Ensembl. Lineage: Eukaryota; Metazoa; Chordata; Mammalia; Artiodactyla; Monodontidae.